This 406-nucleotide ribosomal RNA is filed under the name uncultured bacterium. RNAcentral describes it as "partial 16S ribosomal RNA". It matches the Rfam family "Bacterial small subunit ribosomal RNA", at positions 29 to 526 of the family's 1533-position model. The record is from RNAcentral.
AUUGAACGCUGGCGGCAGGCCUAACACAUGCAAGUCGAACGAGUGGCGGACGGGUGAGUAAUGCCUGGGAAACUGCCUGAUGGAGGGGGAUAACUACUGGAAACGGUAGCUAAUACCGCAAACCAUCGGAUGUGCCCAGAUGGGAUUGGCUAGUAGGGGGGGUAAAGGCUCACCUAGGCGACGACCCCUAGCUGGUCUGAGAGGAGGACCAGCCAAGCUGGAACUGGGACACGCUCCAGACUCCUACGGGAGGCAGCAGUGGGAAAUAUGGCACAUUGGGCACAAGCCUGAUGCAGCCAUGCCGCGGGGAUGAAGCAGGCCUUCGGGUUGUAAGGUACUUUCAGCGGGGAGGCGUUACCCGCAUAGGAAGCACCGGCUAACUACGUGCCAGCCGCCGCGGUAAUUC